RNAcentral lists this ribosomal RNA (433 nucleotides) under uncultured bacterium. RNAcentral describes it as "partial 16S ribosomal RNA". It matches the Rfam family "Bacterial small subunit ribosomal RNA", at positions 29 to 507 of the family's 1533-position model. The record is from RNAcentral.
AACGAACGCUGGCGGCAUGCCUAACACAUGCAAGUCGAACGAGACCUUCGGGUCUAGUGGCGCACGGGGGUGUAACGCGUGGGAACCUGCCCUUAGGUUCGGAAUAACUCCCCGAAAGGGGUGCUAAUACCGGAUAAUGUCUUCGGACCAAAGAUUUAUCGCCUUUGGAUGGGCCCGCGUUGGAUUAGCUAGUUGGUAGGGUAAAAGCCUACCAAGGCGACGAUCCAUAGCUGGUCUGAGAGGAUGAUCAGCCACACUGGGACUGAGACACGGCCCAGACUCCUACGGGAGGCAGCAGUGGGGAAUAUUGGACAAUGGGCGGAAGCCUGAUCCAGCAAUGCCGCGUGAGUGAUGAAGGCCUUAGAGUUGUAAAGCUCUUUUACCCGGGAUGAUAAUGACAGUACCGGGAGAAUAAGCUCCGGCUAACUCCGUG